RNAcentral lists this transfer RNA (96 nucleotides) under Candidatus Latescibacterota bacterium. RNAcentral describes it as "tRNA-OTHER". It matches the Rfam family "tRNA". Rfam says of the family: Transfer RNA (tRNA) molecules are approximately 80 nucleotides in length. Their secondary structure includes four short double-helical elements and three loops (D, anti-codon, and T loops). Lineage: Bacteria; Pseudomonadati; Candidatus Latescibacterota. The record is from RNAcentral.
GGCGCCUUAGCUUAAGAGUGUCAAUUCCGGAAGACUCCGCUGGGAAAGCACUCUGUCGUUGCAGAGGGUUGGUGGGUUCGAAUCCCCCAGGCGCCG